RNAcentral lists this long non-coding RNA (23439 nucleotides) under Populus tremula. Its description in RNAcentral is "long non-coding RNA (PTRE_LNC001427)". The record is from RNAcentral. Lineage: Eukaryota; Viridiplantae; Streptophyta; Magnoliopsida; Malpighiales; Salicaceae.
AGAAGCCCCUAAACUGAAGUUUAAACGUUGCCUUGGAAAGCAACCUUGAGGAUACCUUGCAUAAAUGAGUUGAUGUCCAUAGUCAAUUCCUUCGAUGUGGAGACUCAAUCCAGUUGGCAGAUUAAGCACUGUGCUGUUGUCCUCUGAGCAGGAUAGAUCAAACCCAGGAUAGCCACAGUCUGGUUGUUUGUCCUUGAUUCGGAAAGGAAAUCGGAUGUCAGGGCCACGGUUUCCACAUGAUCCUGUGCAGUUCAAGCUUGCUACAUGGCCUGCAAGGAAGACAAUGAAAAAGAAGAACAAACACGUAACCAUUUCUGAUGAAUAAUUCAUCAUCUCCACACUCCUCCUACGAUUUUAUCUGCAUGUGCUGAUAUAGUUUUGGCCUUUCAGAAAACUCAUGGAGUCCUUAGACGGGCGAUUCCUUUACAGAAUUUAUUUACUCCAUCGAUCUAGUGUGAUGCUCGUCCCUUUGACAUUCCUCCACUCACAAACAUGUGGGAUCCAAUUAUUCCGUUUUAUUUAGGGGUGAGCAUAAUUUCAAACGGUUUGGUUUGGAUAAAAAAAUAUAUAUAACAGAAGUUUUUUUAAAAAAAUAUUUAGUUCAAACGGUUUGGUUUGGAUAAAAAAAAUAUAUAACAGAACUAAUUUUUGUUAAUUGUUUUUUGAAUUGAAUCAAAUAAAAGAACCAAAUUAAUUGGUAUUUGUUUUUUUUUGUUUGAGUUAAUGGACCUUUAGUUGAGCAAUUUUGACAAGUUUCAGGGGCACUUGUUUACACCGCCUCAUUAUAUUUUAUAAAAAAAUAUAUUUUUUAAAAUUAAGUUUUUGUGUUUCUGAAUUGUUUUAAUAUGUUAAUAUUACAAAUAAAUUUUUAAAAAUAAAAAAAUUAUUUUGAUAUAUUUCUAAGUAAAAAAAACUUUAAAAAACAAUCACUACCACAAUGUCAAACACUACUUAAUUUAAUGAGUUUUGAGCUUAUAACAUACCUUUAGUUUCUAAUAAGUUUUUUUUAUUUGGUUUGGAUUAAUUUUUUAAAAAAGAUUUAAAAUUGAAACUCAAUUGAAACGUUUUUAAUUUUUCUAACAAAAAAAAAUUAAAAAUUCAAAAAAUUGUUUGGUUAAUUUUUGGUCAAUUUCUAUGAUUAAUGUUCUCAUCCCUAAUAAUAAUAAUCUCUCUAUUUACAUAGUAUUCACAUUGUAUAUGGUAAUAUGUUUAAUUUGGAAACCUAGAAUUAGCCAAAAAAAACUAGAUUCUAUCGUAUGAAUUUUAAUUACAUGAUCGCACUUAUGCCAAAAGACUGUUUUUUUUUUUUUUGUCAAAUUAGCAGAGUAAAUAUAAAAAUUCAAGGGAAUAACACCGUUUGAGAAAGAUUUAACAAAAUAAUUUACUUUCAACUUGUCACGCUUCAAAAGCAUGAUAUUUACUAAAUGUCGUUAUUCCAACACAUGGCAAGUAGUUGUCCUUUAGAAUAGCAACAUUUAGUAAAUGUUGUUAUUCUGAAGCAUGACAAUAUGAAACUCCAAUUUACAGGCUGACUGGUUUGAUUCAGUUAUAUUAAUCGGUUUAUUGUUUCACAUAAAACGAUAAUUUUAUAAUUUUGUUUCUUCCAAAUAUGUUUUAUGAGUUAAAAUAUAUAUCUCUAUCCAAUUUGUAGACUAAAAAAUCUCAAAACGUUAUUGUAAUUGGGCUUAUGAUAAUGAGUGAUUCUAGGUAGUCAGAUGUAAGUUUGACAUAACUAAAUAAGAAUCUACUCCAAACAAAUUACAUGGAUGAUUGUAUUUAUGGACUAGUAAGAUAUAUCUAGACCCAAGAGGAGGUCUAGUCAUGCAACAUUUAAUAAAUGUUGUGUUUUUAAAGCGCAAUAAGGUGAAGUGUGCUAUUUCAUAAAUUGUUUUUGCUUUUGUGUCAUUUCAUCAUUUAUUUUAAUUUGUGUGCUAAUUUCCUAAUUUAUCCUAUGCCAAAAAGGACUUGGAGUUGUGAUGGAUGCAAAAUUCUCAACAAAAAAUAACUAAGAAGCAUAUAAUUCAUCGUCAUUGACACGGGGUGGUUGAGGGGAAAAGUCUUGCUAUGUGAAACUUCGAGUGACGGACCAAUGUUUCCAUCAAUGACUUAAGUGUCUGAGAAGGAAACGAAAAUAAUGGGGCUUCGACAAGUCCUUUAACCUCUCAAGCAGUAUUUAAGUCCUGUUUGUCUACAUGGCCAACUCGCUAUCAGUCGAGAAGGGAGGAAAGUAAAGUAAAGGGCUCUUUCCUGUUGUCUUGCUCGAGAUACCGUGAACGAAACGGUCCAUAUUUUUGUCAUUAGACUAGAGGAGGUUACACGAGAUUGUAGCUCUCCUACGCGAAACUUCACAUGAGGACCCAUUCAUUUAUUUUAUGUUAUUGGGACAAUUGUAUAUUUACAAGACGCGGCACUAGAGUUGACUUGGUUAAAAGUCUGAGUUAAUAUAAUUUUUUAAAAAAUUAUAUUAUAUUUUUAUAUUUUUUAGAUUUGAUUUAUAUUAUUUUGAUUAUUUUUUAUUUUAUCUGAGAUAAUUUAUGAAAUUAUAUUUUUUUUUCAAUUUCAUUCUCAUUCAAAUUUUUAAUUUGUAAGAUUUGUUCCUCGUUAUUUUAAUAAACUUGAGAAAAAUAAAAUAUUAAUAAGUUAAUUUCUAGCUCAUUUUCCAUGACAUAACAAAAUACUAGAAAGUAUUUUCCAAUUUAUUUUUCAUUACACUACCAAACAUCAAAAAAUAAUUCACUUUCCCGGAAUUCGCUUUCCAAAAAAAACUACUUUCCAGCAAACAAACGAAGCCUAAAUGAAUACAAUAUUAAGAUUAAGAGUCAUAUUGUCUUAAAACAUCUAAUGUAUUCUAUAUUUUAUAUUAUAAACUUAUCUUAUCAUUUUGAAAAUGAUUUAGCCAUACUAACAUCUAUACAUAUAUAUAAUACCUCCAUUACAUCCUACACAUUUUUUUAUUUUUACACCACAAAGGUUUUCAAAGAAAAUAAAGACAUAUAAAUGUUACAUUUUAAAAUGAUAAUUCAUAAACAAAAAAUCCUACAUCUAACGAUCUGCAUCAUCUCGUGGUGUAUGUAUUUCAACAAUAACCACAUUAAUUAAUUUACUCAAUAUCUUAGUCAUAUAUUAAUUAUUUUACUCUUAACUUUUAAAAUUUAAUACUUCUAACUUCAAUCAAUAAUUUACAUAAUCUUUUCAAAAUUUAAAUAUCCAGCUAACUCAUCUCGAUUACCAAUAAUUCUAACACUUUCAUAUAAUUACCCACAAAUUUGGUUAUUCUUCCUCGGUUACCAGUAAAUCAAUAAUUCCAUCUAAAUUACCCAUCAUCUAGUUAACUACUUUUGUUUGCCAAUCAAUCUGGUAAUUCCAUAUGAAUUACCUCAUAUCCAGUUAACCUCUUUGUUAACCAAUAAACCGGGUAAUUCUCUUAAUUACCCAAGAAAUUCGGGUAACCCAUUUUGGUUGCCAAAAUCAAUCCGGUAAUUCCAUAUGAAUUACCCAGCAUCCGACUAACCUUUUUUGUUAGCCAAUUAAUAAUUCCGGUAAUUUCACAUAAAUUACCAAUAAUUCUCAUUUGUAAUAAUCACUCAAUUUAUUCAUGUGCUUCAUUCUUUUAACAUCAAUUAAAUAAACAAAUAUGUGGUUGUAUGUGAAAUGAUGAUGUUAUGUUUGAGAAUGACUUUUUAUCUGAAUGAAUUAAAAAACAUUACAUGCUUUGCAUUUCGGCACAUAAGAAAAAUAUUAAUGAACUAAUGAUAUAAUGACAUUUGAUUGAUUUAGGAGUUGUGUCUGGAGCUGGUUAUCAGAUAAGAGGAGUUGGGUUAUCACGAGCAGAAGGUAGGUGAUUUGUCACCUUAUUUUAUAAUUAUUAGUUUUCCUUAAAGAUUUAUGUUGUUUAUUUAAUUAAUGUUAAAAGAAUAAGCAAAUGAAUAAAUUGAGUGAUUAUUACCAAUAAAAAUUAUUGGUAAUUUAUGUGAAAUUACUAGAAUUAUGUAAAAGAUCGCUUCAACUUUUUUAACUUGGUUGCUCUUUCUCAACUAGACAACCACUUCAACUAAUUUCUAGAAAUCAGUUUCGAUAUUUUCACUAUCUUUCCCUUACAACCGAAGGAAGCAUAUCUUGGAAUAUCUCAUGGAUUUGGACUGGAUUGGGUGUUUUGGUUUCUGAUGAGAUGCUCCAUGAAAAAUAUCAGGCUCGCUGGAUGUCGUUGUUUGUGGUAUUGACAGUUGAUGACUUUUUUUUUUUACUUUUCAAAGUUAAUGAUUCUGACAUUUCGAAGGAGGUGGGAAAUUAUCUUCGUCUGUGAAGUAGUGUUGAAUGUUGGAUCAAUAACUCACUGUCUGCUUUGCUACUAUUCCUAUCCGAUGACUCUGACAUUUCAAAGGACGACCAGGUAGGGGUGUUCUCCUUCACCUUUCAUUGCAUUAUCAGUAGCUUCCACUCCGAAAUUCAAUAGUUUUUGUUGGAGAAAAAAGAAAAGGAAAAAAGAAGAAUAGUUUAUGCAAAAUUGCGUAUACACUGUGUAUCACUUCAGCCUUCCCCAUGUUUAGAGGAAUGAACGUCCUUUUUGCUUGCUACAUAGCUUUUCUUUUACAGCUAUUAGUCUUCCAAACUUGCCAUUCUAGCAACUUCACUGCUCAUUGUGCUCCUUCUUCAUGCGGCAAUAUCCAAAACAUAAGCUUCCCUUUCAGACUAGACACUGAUCCACAAAGCUGCGGAAACAAUAAUUAUACUCUGAUUUGCGAGAACAAUAUUGCUACAGUAUUAUAUUUGUAUUCAGGUAAAUACUACGUGCAGGCAAUCGACUACGGUAACUUCACAAUCCGAGUGGUAGAUGCUGGUGUACAUGAUAAUUCCUGCUCCAUCCCUCGUUAUUCUUUGGCACCUGAUGACUUCAGUGACGGAGAUCCAUACACAUGGUAUAACUACAAGCAGGUGCCGCCAGGAGUGAGUGAAAGUUUCGUGUACUACUGGGGCCACUGGUUCUUACCUCCACUAUCACAGCCUAUGAUUUUCAUGAGCUGUGAAAAUACGGUGAAUUCUCCUCUUUAUGUGGACACGGCUCCCUACGGCCUUAAGUAUGGAUCAGGAAAUUAUUCCAACUCUUCUCUUGUGAGUCAUUCGAAUUAUGUGGCUCUUGGGGGCAUGACUGCCUCGGAUUUGAUGGAACUGUGCAGCAUAGAGAAAAUAUUUUUGCUUCCAAAGAAGAGCUACACAUACAAGUCCUUUGAAGAAAUACACAGUGACCUGGCAUACGGGUUUGAGCUUUCAUGGUACAACAUCUACUGUGAAAAUUGCACAAGGGGUUGCUACAUCGACAGCUCAGACCGUCGUCAAUGCAUUAGCAGCUGUAUGUAACACUUGAUGAUUAAGUUGCAUCACUUUGAUUCAUAAGACCAUAUAUAACUUGUGAUUUGAGGUGGUUUCAUAUAUUUUCUCUGGCUUACUUUUCAAUUUUCCUUUUUUUCGGGCAUUAGCACAAUAUUGCACUGUCCCCAGAUCGAUGUUCAUGUACAAAUUCUGUGCAUCCAUUACCUGUGAAUUCUACUAUAGUGGACUGAUUAUGAGAUUCAUUCAUGUUCAUAUUGUAAAAUAUUCUGACUAUAAUGUGGUUGAAGGUAGUUGGACAGAUUCAUUGGUCUUUUGCAAUUUCAGGAUUGACACAGUGAAACGUUUGGUUCAUCUUAACUUGACCAUGGAUACACAUUAAUUAGUUCAAGGCACAUUAUUAAUUAAAUUGUGUGUGCUCUUAUCUAUUUUCUUUCGCAUUUACUGUUGCGUAUACCAUUAGAACUCUUUGUAAACCUAAAUUCUCGACAGAUUUUGGUGAAAGCUUCUGGGAAACACUACUCCUCGCAGUGAUAGGUGCGAAUUCUCUUUCUGCAUCUCACCUUGUUUGUGUAUUCUUAAGUGUUUCUUCAAACGACUUAUUUGUGAAAUAAGGAUUGUUGUUUCUUGAAUAGUAAUUGUAAUUUUGUUCACCAUUUUCUGCAGAUCCCCUAUAUAUCCAUUUUAUUUGGUAAGAGAUUCCAUCAUUUCUUUAGUUUCGCAACAAAUUUCUAGUGGAGACAACAAAUAAGAUCACAAAACUUGAUUGUUUUCUGGAAAUUUCCUACACAGCACUGCUUCAUGGGCCAAAAGUUGUUUGUGGGACUCCAUGUGUGAUUAUAUUUUUGAUCUACAAAUUGCGAAGGAGACAUUUAUCAGCAUAUGAUAUAGUUGAACAAUUCCUACAGGGUCAGAAUAACCUUAUGCCAGUAAGGUAUUCCUACUCAGAUAUCAAGAAGAUUACUAGAGGUUUCAAGGAGAAAUUAGGUGAAGGAGGCUUUGGUACAGUUUACAAAGGAAAGCUUCGCAGUGGACAUUUUGCAGCAGUAAAAUUGUUGGGAAAAUCAAAAGCUAAUGGACAGGAUUUCAUAAAUGAAGUUGCUACCAUAGGAAGGAUUCACCAUACUAACGUGGUGCAGCUAAUUGGUUUUUGCGCUGAAGGAUCAAAGCGAGCUCUUGUAUAUGAUUUCAUGCCUAAUGGAUCUCUUGAUAAACACUUGUUUACUUGAGAAGGAUCAAUCUCUUUAAGCUGGCAAAAACUGCAUCAGAUUUCCCUUGGAGUGGCUCGUGGUAUCGACUAUCUUCAUUUAGACUGUGACAUGCAAAUACUUCAUUUUGAUAUUAAGCCUCACAACAUUCUUCUUGACGAAAAUUUCAGUCCAAAAGUUUCUGACUUCGGGCUCGCUAGGUUGUACCCCACUAAUGGCAGCAUAACAUCUCUUACUGCAGCAAGGGGCACCAUAGGAUACAUGGCUCCUGAACUGUUCUACAAAAACAUUGGACGUGUCUCCUAUAAAGCUGAUGUAUAUAGCUUUGGAAUGCUGCUAUUGGAAAUGGCAGGCAAAAGGAAGAAUGUAAACGCAUUGGCAGAAAAUUCAAGUCAAAUCUACUGGCCAUAUUGGGUUCAUGACCAAGUAUCUGAUGGAAAGGCCAUAGAAAUCGGAGACGAUGCCACGGAGGAAGAACGUAAGAUCGUCAAGAAGAUGAUUAUGGUUGGAUUGUGGUGUAUACAAAUGAAACCCAUGGAGCGGCCUACAAUGAAGAAUGUUGUGGAGAUGCUUGAAGGAGAUUUGGAAAACUUGCAAUUGCCUCCUAAGCCUGUCUUCAAUCUAGAUGUGACGCCACCAAACAUUGAAGGAGAGUCAUCAUCGUUGUCAGGUGAUUCUACCGCAUCAACCAGUUUGAUUGAAAAUGCAUACUAAGUUAUAUGAUGUGGAAUGCUCUGCUUACAUGCAGGGAAAAUGAUAGAAUAAUGGUGCUUUCGGACUUGGUUGUGAUGAUUUAGUCUGCAACACAUUAUGAUAAUUUGCAAUACUUCCUUUUAUCUGAUUUGUGUUUAGCUAAUUUAGAGUUCAAGCUGCGGCUUGUUUCUUCGGUGUGGUCUAUAUAAUCAUCAUACAAAGAUGUUCUGUAUUGUGUUUAACUAUCAGAUUUCCACUCUGUUUGGCAAUCAUAGCAGUUGGCGAGGAUGGAACAUCCUCCAUGAUAACUGUUCCAUGUUCUACAUAUUAAUUAUCCUAUAUUUUUCUCCAACAGAAUAAUAUUUUGGCUACAAAUUAACAAGAGACUAUCACAGGGAUUAUAUAAACAAGUUUAUGCAUGAAAAGACGAGUCUCUAUUUAUAGGUAGCCACUACAAGUAGCUUCGGAGACCACAAAUACAAGUCAAGUCUCUCUAGUAAUCCUUCCACUAUAAGUAGCUUCGGAGAUAGAAAAUAGCGAUUUAUUUGCUAUCAUAGGGAUGAUUCUGAACAGAGGGGCUUAAUUUCAUUUUCUUCCACCAACAAUGCCUUCGUGUCAAUGUUCAGCCCCAUGAUAAUCGAUCUAGCGUCACCAUUUGCACAUUACCAUAUCUUGCAUAAGCCACGAGGAACCAAUCACAACAAAACAGGAUUGAAAACCAUGACCAUAACGGGUGCUGUGAAAUGAAUAUUGAAACAGAUGGGUGAAUUUGAUGCAGAAAAGUAGAGAGGAGACAAUGAAGCUUGCUUACCGGUCAUGGCAUUUCACCAGGGAGCUCUGCUUCUUCAAAAAUGCUCAACUGUGCUCAACAACCUUUCAGGAUCUGCUUCAAUUUUCUCAAGAGAAUGGGAAACAGUGAACGGGAUCCUCGUUAGCUGCGGGCAAUCACCCACAGUAAUUUCCUCAAGAGAAUUGCAUAGAAGACUUCCAGAAUAAAUGCUAUUCAAAUUAUGACAUUUGUUCUGCGAGAUAUUCCCACUUUAUCAGGAUGAAAAUCAUCCCACAAAUCAUCAAGAAUGAUGACAUGGUUUUGUAUCACACUCAAUGCUGUCCAUAGCUCCCCAGCUCUACUCGUCACAUCUUUUCCUCUCGGAAGACAUAAACCAAAAGCUUCGGCAAUGAGAUCCUGCGAGGCAUGAAUGCUAAAUUUCUGUUCAUAUGCUGUGUGAUGAAGGUGUUGCUUUCUGUGACAUAGUAAUCCAACAAACAUGAAAAAAAAAAAUGUCUGGUUUCUCUUGAAGCUGAUUAUGGAUAUGUGCAGCCAAAGUUGUCUUUCCCACUCCCCCAUCCCGUACAUGCCAAUGCAUGAGACCUCACCAUUCAACAACAAGACCAGACAUCCUUCAUAUUUCUUUCAAUAGCUUGACCCACUAGCUUCGUUGUCGGGACUACAUAUCUUUUAGUCCUACGUCGCUUAUGUACAGGCCUUUUAGAAUAGCUUACCGUGUCAAUUCUCAAGUCAUGUUCUCUAUAUAAACUCUUAACAAAACAUCCCUCGUUGAUGAGGAUGAGAUGUUAUUCAAGAUCAUUUCAAAUGCCUGACAUGUUUUCUCUGUUCUCUGUCCAGGCUCGGGUUCAUCUGGCACAAGUACAACAUGAGCUCUAGGUUCCUCAACAAUCUCGGUCUCCCCCGUCAAGAACUGCUCUGUUGAUCACCCCAUCUUCAUCACUUUCAAAAGAAACAUGCAAUAAUUUUGCUAACUUUGAGUUUCUAUCGUCAAAAUUCACUACAAAUCACUUCUUUUCAUUGCACCAUUGGCUUCCCAGCUGCAAAUUCAAGUACCCUUUUUAUAUAUAUAAAAUCAUCAUUUUUUUGGGCUAAAAACAACAAGUUAAUAACAGGUUUAUGUAUAUCGACAACGUCAAUUUAUUUUAUUUAUUUAUUUAAAAUUAAUACUUUUUGGUAUUUAAUUUUUUUUAUCUAUUUAUUUGCUUAAAAAUAAAAAAUUUGUGUUUUUAAAUUAUUUUAAUGUGAUGAUAUCUAAAAUAAUUUUUAAAAAAUAAAAUAAAUAUUAUUUAAUAUAUUUUUGAAUAAAAAAACACUUUAAAAAAUAACCACAACCAUACUUUCAAAUACACCGUUAAUUAUUUUGACAUUUAAAAAUUACAAUCUAAACUGAACUUGUUUGUCAUUCAAAUUUAAAAUUUUUAUUUUGUUUGGAAUUAAUAUAUUAAUAAUAAAAAUAAUUUUUUAAAAAUAAAAUAAAAAAAAUCAUUUUAAUAUAUUUUUAAAUUAAAAAAAUUCUGAAAUAUUAAUUUUUAUCAAACUCACAAGCACUCCUUACAUAUUUACUAUUAGGUAAAGGUUCCGAUACCAAAAUACAAAACAGUCCCUAGAAAUCAUAAAAUCCUAAUUUCAUCCCCGGAAUGAUAGCAAAUGGUUUUGAUAGCUUUGCCAAACCUUAAAUAUUAAAAAUAUUUCACACCGUAUAAGAUUCCUUACAUUUACUAUUAGGAAAAUACACGCUGCAAUUACAACUGAAGAUGCAUGGAUUUUGGAGAGAGGGUACGAACGCCUUCUUGUCAAUGUGCAGCCCCAUGAUCAUCGAUCUAGCGUCACCAUUUACACAUUACCAUACCUUGCAGAAGCCACGAGGAAACAAUCACAACCAAACAGGAUUGGAAACCGUGACCAUAAUGGGUGCUGUGAAAUGAAUAUUGAAACAGAGGAGAAAAUGAAGCUUGCUUACCGGUCAUGGCAUUUCACCAGAGAGCUCUGCUUCUAACUGUGAAAUGCGUCUUCUUGUGGGUAAGAGGCAAGGUCUUCAAACAUGCUCAACUGUGUUCAACAAACUUUCAGAAUCUACUUCAAUUUUCUUAAGAGAAUGGGAAAUAGCGAACGGGAUCCUCGUUAGCUGCGGGCAAUUACCCACUGUAAUUUCUUCGAGAGAAGUGCAUUGAAGUCUUCGAGAAUAAAUGCUUUUCAAAUUUGGUAAUUUCUUCAAUUUAUCAAAACUACGAAAAGGAGAGGAAUGCUCCUCUCCAGGCACCAAAACUUCACAACUUCCCAUUAUCUCUCGCAUGUUGUAACAAUCUUCGACUACAAUCACUUCCAAUCGGAGUGUAGACAAAAACCGUGGGAGCAGCACCUUUAUCCUAUGACACUUAUGUAUCACCAUCUCUCUGAGAUCGAAAAAGACACCAACAGUACCUAGCUUUGAAGGUACUUCAAAAGGGGUUUCUAAGAUUAUCAAACCAUCAAGGUGUAGAAUCUCAAGCCCAUAUGAUGGACAUAAGCUUCUCAUGUUUUGACAACUAACAAAAACUACUUUUGCCCAUAUCAAACCACCUGUUGUUUUGCCCCUCACUACUUCCACCAUUUGUGCUCCACUGGAUCAGUCUGCAAUUCCAUUGCCUGCCUCUGCCCCAACUCCGCUGAUUUCCAAUCACCAUCCUAUGACUACUCGUGCAAAGUAUGGCAUCAGUAAGCCUCGUGCUCUUUGUGCCAGUAAUUAUCCCUUGCCUCAAAAAUAUGUUGCACUACUUAUCUCCUCCAUCCCUCGUGAACCUUCAUCUUUCAAAGCUGCCAGCCUUGAUUCACAUUGGAUUUCUGCAAUGACAGAUGAGUAUCGUGCACUCCUUGAUAAUCAGACGUGGUCUUUAGUGCCUCGUACAUCCUCUAUGAACGUUGUCGGCUGCCGUUGGGUUUACAAAAUCAAAGAACAUGCUGAUGGUUCCAUUGAACGCUAUAAAGCGCGUCUUGUCGCUAAAGGCUUCAAUCAAGAGUAGGGUGUUGAUUUUACAAACACUUUCAGUCCAGUUGCUAAAGCAACAAUAGUUCGUCUACUUCUCUCAAUUGGUCUCUCUCGUUAAUGGAGUAUUCGGCAGCUUGACGUUAAAAACGCUUUUCUACAUGGUGCUUUAACUGAAGAGGUUUUUAUGUCUCAACCUCUGGUUUUAUCCACUCUUCUUUUCCUAACCAUUUGCAACUUCACCGCUCCAUUUAUGGUUUAUGUCAAGCACCGCGUGUGUGGUUCCAGAGUUUUAGUAAUGCCUUAAUUUCUCUUGGCUUUAAAUCUAGCAAGGCUGAUCAUUCUCUUUUUACAUAUCAUUCAUCUACUGGUACAGUGUUGCUGCUUGUCUACAUCGACGAUAUUAUUAUUAUGGGUUCUACAGAUUCUCUUAUUAAUCACUUGUCACUAAGCUCUCUCAACGCUUCCAUAUGAAAGAUCUUGGUGACCUUCAUUAUUUCCUUGGUCUUGAAGUUCAUCGUACCCCCACUCAUUUUCGACUCACGCAAACUAAGUAUCUGCUGUCUAUAUUUAAGUCUUCCAGCAUGCUUGACUAUAAACCUCAAUCUACUCUUGUCGUCUCUGGACGCAAACUUUCCAUGUCUGAUGGCCUUUUAUUAUCUGAUCCUCAUGAAUAUCGUCGUCUUGUGGGAGCUCUUCAAUACCUUACAUUUACACGACCGAAUAUAUCUUAUUAUGUUCAACAAGUUUGCCAAUUCAUGCACUCUCCACGUGAUGCUCAUCUCCAAGCUGUUAAACGAAUUUUACGAUACCUAAGAGGUACAAUUGGUUCUGGUAUUUGCUUCUCUGCCAACUUGUAUCCCACUUUAUCCUGCUUUCUUGAUGCCGAUUGGGCAGGAUGUCCUGAUACUCAUCGCUCCACCAUGGGCCACUGUGUUUUUCUUGGCUCUCAUUUAAUCUCCUGGAGUGCCAAGAAACAAUUAACCGUUGCACUCUCUAGCACAGAAUCUGAAUAUAAAGCUCUUACUCAUGCUUCUGCAGAUCUCUUGUGGAUUUCUUAUGUUCUUCGGGACAUUGGUUUUCACAACCUCCCUGCCUUGCACACUCUACUCUGACAACAUGGGUGCUACUCAAUUGGCCCACAAUCCUGUUUUCCAUGCCCGCACCAAACACAUUGAGCUUUCUUAUCAUUUCACACGUGAACUUGUCUCCACUGGUUUCCUUAAAGUCUCCUUUGUUCGCUCAACGAAUCAACUUGCUGAUCUCUUUAACAAAGGAUUAUCCUUGACUACAUUUUGCUUCUUUCGUGACAAGUUAUUGUGGCAUCCUCUCCAUCAACUUGCGGGGGCAUUAUAGAAUACAAGAUAUUGACAGAUAUUGUAACAGAUUGCAUAGCUAUAAUCAAGGCUUUUGAAUACAUUCUUAGCUAAUGUUGAGGCUAUAAAGUAGGCAAGUGAUAUGCUAUUGUAUAACUAAUUGCAUAUUUACAGGGCUUUGUAAAAUAACUAUAAAUACAUAGAAUCAACUAUUAAAGGUUGAGCCAUUCUUCUACAAUUUUUUCGCAUUCUUUCUUUAUUGAUCAGAAAGAUCUAGAAUUUGAACUGCCAUGGUUUAUAAUUAUUUUUGGAGAUCUGAAAGUAUGAAUCCUUACCAGUUGCGGUGACAAACUACUGUUUAUUGGGAGAAAUGGCCAAUUAGAGCUAGCCAUAUUUACUUGAAUGAUUCUUGAACUUUUCUUGGGCCAUCUGACAGCCUAUGAUAGAUUUCCUAAAAUUUAUUUAUGCGGCCUUCUGUCUCAAAGAAUUUGGCAAGAAACGAUCGGUAGAAAUUUAUAAAAAAUUUACUUUUUAAAAUUUGAUUUAUAGUUUAAAUAGAUGGUAUUAAACUUGGCUAGCUGGAUUCAUCAACUUAGAAUCUAGUUAAAUUCAACAAUUUAUAAAAAAUCUAGUUAUCGUCUAAAACUUGGCUUAAACUAGGUUAAAAAAAUUAAAUAAAAAUUGAUUUAAUCAAAUUAAAAAUCAAGUAAAUUAACUCGCAAUUCAAUCAUCUUAAUUAAAAUUUAAUUUAAUUAUUAAAGUUGUUUUUCUUAAAGUAAUGACAUUUCUUUUUUUUUAAAAUUAUGAAAUAAUUCACCCGAGUAAACUUUGUUUUUCUUAAAACAAUGACAUUAUAUUUUCGUUUAAUUUUUUUUAAAUAGUGAAAUAAUUCACUCGAGUAAACUUUGAUUUAAAAUUGAAAAUCUUGAAAUAAUUAACUUGAAAUUAAUUAUUAGUACUCUCAUUCAAUUCUCAAUUAUAAUCAUGGCACAUGUAACUGUUUUUAUUAUAUAAAGGCUUAUUUAUUUUUAUGUUUUAAAAGGAUUUUUUUUUAAAAAAAAUUAUUUUUAAUUAAUUUUUUUUUGAUAAUUUUAAAUUGUUUUAAUGUGUUAAUAUCAAAACUAAAUUUUAAAAACUAAAAAAUAUUAUUUCGAUACAACACAGUUAGCAUACUCUCAAACAUACAAAGUAUUUUGUCAAAAAACUUCACAUAAAAUCAGGACAACACACAAGCAAUUCAUUCCAUCAAUCUGGAAUUGCAUUACAAAAACGUGAAAAAAAAUAAAAUCUGGAGUUAACUCAGAAUCUACUAUUAUAAGUAAUUAAGUAUACAUGCAUCAGCCAGCGUUAAUUUGAUUCCAAUCACACCUUAGAAUCCAACCUCUGUGCUUCUUUUCCUGCGCAAUCCUUCAGCACAGCUCGGGGUGGAAGGACUUUCUUGAAGAUGGAUAAGAAACAGUUCACUUCGAGAUCAAGCUCGUCAUCGUCAUCGUCAUCCAUCUUAGCCUUCUCCUCUUCCAUUCUCUUCAAUUUAUCGUUGUGUAAUCUUCUCAGAACAUAUGCUUCAGCUAGACAGUACCCAUGAGUUGCCAUGGCCCAAAAACAUGUUCCAGGUGUCUUUGUUGAGAGACCAGUGGAAAUGAACUAGGGUUGAUGAUGAGCUGAGAGGCUCUGUUUAGGUCAUUUUAUAAGGGUCUGUCGGCUUGGGGAGGAAGGAAGUCGUGUGAUGUUCAGUGGUCCAAAUGGAACUUGAGAGUGAAAUAUUUGUAAUUUUUUGGUGGACAAUGUCAUGGCAGCGUAGAAACUUUGUGGAAAUGGACAAUUAAAAAAACAGGGGAUGUAAGAAACCCUUGUUUUUAGUUAUUAGUGAUUAUGUGUGCAACAUCCGGAAUUUUGCAUUGAAAGAAAGGAAGAAAUUAUGUAGAGGAAACACACCCUUGGACUUGUAAAUGUUAUACAUACUUAAUACAUGAACUCCUAACCAGUUACCGAAGGUAACCUCAACUUAUAAUUACUCUGUUUUAGAGAAAGCUGCCAACUCUUGUUGAAGCCAUUGCAUGCAUUCUUAUGAACUUGGACUGGGCUUUCCACUAUUGCAAUCUUGGGCUGCAAGCUCUAGGAUGCUUCUAACAGACACACAAUAAUGGGAGAAAUGAGUAUGUAGCUCUUGAAGACAAAAUGUCAAAUCUUUCAUGUGGUAAGGGUGAUCGAUGUUUGUUCUUCGAAGAUCAUGCAGUUAUUGAUCCUGUCUUGCAUCUUAAACUUUUUCGACGACGAGCUUGCGUGCGAGAUUCAGAGGAAGAUUGAUGAAGUUGGACCGGGCUUUCCACGAUUGCAAUCUUGGGCUUCUUCUAGGUUUGUAAUUCCAUUGUAAUCGUUCAAGUUGGCCAGGACAAAGACACAAUCAUUGAAGAAAUAAGUGUGUAGCACUUGAAGAUUAAAUGAAGAAUCUUUCAUUUUGUAGGGGUGAUCGUAGUUUGUUCUUUGAAGAUGAUGCAAUUAUUGAUUUGGUCUUGCAUCUUGAUGUCGGUAAAUGAUUUUUUUGUUUUUCCAACCAAUAUAACGAUAAAAUUUGGAAUCACCGACAAAAAAAAAGCCGACGCACAUAUUCCGUCAAUAAUAUAGUCGGUAAAUAAUUUACCGAUGAACUCCUAAUCACACACCGACAUAAUAUUUUCAUCGGUAAAACUUCGAAAUCUUGUAGUGUGAAUAUGACUUGCUAAGAAAUGCUGUUUAUAACGAGAGAGACUCUUUCAGAGAGUUGGAGAAUGAGUUUUCUCAUGAGCUAGAUGUUGUGUUUUUCAUAAAGAAAGUGAAAAAAUCCGAAGCUAUUGUUGUAUUGAUACAACACCAUUGUUGAGCACUUUCACCUUAUAAAUUAUUUAUUAGAGAUUUUGAGCAGUUGGAGUAUUGGGAGAUUUGUUAUUAUCUCAUGUUCUGAAGUUUCAAGUCGUUAUCCAUUAAAAGAAUUUUUGGUGACUCUUACUAGCUUUCCACUAAUAAAGUCAAGAAAACUUCAUGGUUGAAUUAAGCUUUUUGAAACUUCGAUCUUGGAUCGGUGGAGUGAUAGGCUUUGUGAGAGCGAGCCCGUUUAUAGGAUUUGUAAAUACGUGUUGUUACUUUCAAUAUAUAUAUAUAUAUAUAUAUAUAUAUAUAUAUAUAUAUAUAUAUAUAUAAGUUACAUUUAUGAAAUGAUUAUUUUAUAUUUAUAGUAAUGUUAGAUCUUAACUUGUAUUGGUGUAAAUAUUUUAUAUGACAUAUAAUUGGUUAAUUAUUGAUUUUAUUCUUAAAUAUAUUUGGAUAAAUGAUUUAAUAACUAAAUAAAUCUUAAUUUCAUUAUAUUAUCUUCUUAGCCAUAAGUUUUUUUUUUUUUUUUUUAUGAUGAGUAUAAUAAAUACUCAUAUAAAAUAAUUAUAUUAUCAUUUUUUUUUUACCUUAAAAACACCUAAAAAAGAUCUAAAAAAGAUCUGAGCUUUGGUAGAAUUUUUGUUUUGGUUGGAUUUUAGGUUUUGGGGUGUUUUAUUGGGUUUUUGGUGGCAAUGGAUUGACUUAACAAGGUCUCUAGAGUUUUUUCUAGGUGUCUUGGGUAAAAAAUAAGUUGAAAAUUGAUUUUUAGGUAAAAAAAUAAAGGACCAUAUUUUUCCGGCCAUCAUAAUAGCCGAAUUCUAGGUUGCGCAAACGACGCAUCAUUGUUUUAUAUACUCGAGGCAUUAUAAUUUUUUUUCUAAAUAAAUGCUCGCGCAUUAGCCGUUGUUUUAUUGGGUCAGAUGUUAGGUGUAGCUUGCUUGGCCCAACAGUGCCUAUCCUGAUUUUUUUUUUUUUUUAGUUUUGUGUGUAUUUUAUCAAAUAAAUUUUUGGUUUAUAUUUUAAUUAGAUUGUGAUUAAUUUUAAAUGAUAUUGAGUAUAUUUAAUUUUUAAAGAGGUAAGUAUGAUUCAUCUGUGAUUUUUUCUUAAUUUUAUAUAGAUUAAAUUUGUUUUUUAAUAUUGUUUUUUUAAUAAGAUUUUUUAUAUGUGCAACCUUACAUUGUUUUUUUAAUUAUUAUUCAAAAAUUUUUAUGUGUGUAUCAGUUUCUAUUACAAAUUUAGUUUAAUAGAGAGGUUCAUUAAACACAAUCAUAUAAAUUACCCAUAUUGCAAUUACCCAAAUUUAUGUAUAGUGCUUUUGUUCCUAUAACCUAGGUCAUUGUUUAAAAAGUUAGUCUUAUUUUUUUAUAUUUAUUUUUUUCUAUAUAAUUAUUCUAUUUUCUUUUAAUUUUUACUUUAUUAACAAAUAAAAUUAUUGAGAUGAUUUGAAAAUAUUAUAAAGAUAUAGUUAUAUAAUAUUGACAAAUAUUUAUCUUUUGUAUUGAGUCAUUGUUUUUUUUCUCGCUUUAUUUACUGUCAACAUCAUUAAAUUAACUAAUUUUAUUAAAUUUAUUAGAGCAAAUUACCUAUAUAUUAUUUUAAAAAUAAUAUUUUUAUAGUAAUUGGUACUUGUGGUGCGACCCGCCUAACUAGUCUUACCUGUAAACAUAUCAUGUUAUGCCAUCCAUGUCACAAACUCAUUUAAAGCUUGACGCAUUGGUCAAUUAUUUUAUAUUUCAGUGUUUUGUGGCAUUAACAAUGAAGUUAGUGAUUGAAGCAUUAGUCCACACUCUUAGUGUCUUUCAUGGCGAAGACUUCCCCCCCAUGCGCACUCAGGUCAAUGAUGAACAAUUGUAGGGUUCUUGGUUAUUACGCAAUAUUUUUUUUUGGUCACCAAACCUGACCUUCGAAGAUGUCAUUAAAAGUGCCGCCACAUCUUUUUCUUUAUGGUAUGGGUGGCGUGAUGACUUAUGAUCGUUGGAUUUUGGUGGAUUGUUCUCAUAAUUUUUUAUAUCUUUUUUUUAUUUCAGUUUUUAUUCUAUUAAUUUUUUAUUUGAUACUUUUAUUUAAAAUUUUAAUCGCUUUCAAUAAAGCUUGUCGGUGGUAAAACACACUCCGAAGCAACCUGUGGUUCAAACUUCAACGACAAAAAUAUGAGCUCUUUCUUUUCUGUUCGUUUCUGUGGUCCACCACCUUUAAUUUCUUUCAUGGCAAGACUUUUCCCCUAUGAGCAAGCAGGUCAAUGACGAAGAAUUGUAGGGUUCUUGGUUAUUUCUUCUGGUCCAGAAGUCUCUGCCGUGUAACAAUCUAUGGGUAGAAAUUAAUGGCAAAGGGAAGAGAUGAAAGAAGAAGGACCUUCAAAAUCCUUCUUUCCUCCCUGCAAUUCCUUCACAAUUAUGUGUUACAUUGAUUUUCUUCGCAUUUGAAGUGAGUUAGAGUACUGGAUGUUAAAUAAUAUUUAUGUAGUCUUAUUUAUUAAGGAUAGAAUAAUACUUUAAGUUUAAUUUAUAUAUAUUUUAAUUGUAUUUAGGUUAUAACUAUACAAUCAUAAUAUACAAAUUAUUCAAAAUUUUAAUAUUUUUUUAUGUGUUUGAUUUUAAUUAUUUCAACACUAAAUUGCUUAAAUAUGAUGAAUAAAGGGUUGGAUUUGUAAAAUUAUUUACACAUUUUCUGCUGUAUCAUCGACGUUCUUCCUUCCUCCAACCAUUUCCAGCACUAACAUACCAAAGCUGUAAACAUCUGAUUUACAGGAAACGUUCCCGAAGUUCCUCGAGAACACUUGUAUCCUUGGAACACAACUUAGCCAUCCCAAAAUCGGCGAUUUUGGGAAUGAUUUAGUUGUCAAGCAGGAUAUUCUGUGGUUUGAUAUCAAAAUGGAGGAUUCUUUGAUCACACCCCUGGUGAAGAUAUUCAAUCCCCUUGGCUAUGCCUAUAGCAAUUAUUCUUUAUAUAUAUAUAUAUAUAUAUAUAUAUAUAUAUAGAGUAAUUGGCUUUUUUUGUUUCAUUGUUUUUAUAUUCAUUUUUUUUUCUUUUUAUACAAUUAUUAUAUUCGUAUUUAAUUUUUAUUUUACUAACAAAUAAGAUCAAUGAGAUAUUUUAAAAAUAUUAUAAAGAUAUUGUUUUAUAAUAUUGACAAACAUUUAUUUUUUAUAUUGAAUCAUUAUUUUUUCCCGUUUUAUUUAUUAUAAAAAUAAAAUAUACUUCCAUAAUAUUUAUAAUUAUUCUAUUAUCAUUGAAUCAUGCUAAAAAUAAUUGGCCCGGGACGGCGCGGCAUCCUAACUAGUCUUAUCUAUAAACCUAUCAUGUUAUGCCACAUACUCAUUUAAAGCUUGAUACAUUGGUCAAUUAUUUUAUACUGAUUGGGACGUUAAAGAGCCGGUCAAUUAUUUUAUAUUUCAGUGUUUUGUGACAUUAGCAAUGAAGUUACUUAUUGUAUUUUAAAAAUAUUUUUAAAAUUUUUAAAAUUUGUUAAAUUUAUUUAUUAAAAAAAUUAAUAUAUUUAGAUUAUUUUAAUAUAUUGAUAUAAAAAAUAAUUUUUAAAAAUUAAAACAAAAUUAUUAUUUUAAAAUAUUUUUAAAUAAAAAUAUUUUAAAAAAUAACUAUAAUUAUACUUUCAAAUAAAUUCUUGCUUUCAUGACGAAGACAUUUCCCCGUGCGCACCCAAGUUAAUAAUGAUGAAGAAUUGUAGGGCUCUGGGUUAUUACGCGUUAACGAGUUGUUGGUGUCCCCAACAUGGGAGAUGCCACCAUAUCUUUUUCUUUUUCUCUUUUAAAGUUGUGAGCGUGAUAACAUGUGAUUAUUGAAUUGUCGCUUAUUAUUUUUUAUAUUUUAUUUUUAAUUUUAUUUUUAUAUUUUAUAUCAACAUUUUAUUUAUUUUCAAAUUUAUUUUUCAAUUAUAUAUUUUUUUAUUUUUUUAUUUCAGUUUUUAUUCUAUUAAUUUUAAAUUUUUUUAUUUGAUACUUUUAUUUGAAACUUUAAUAACUUUUAAUAAAGUUUGUCGGUGGUCAGAGACACUCCGACGCAACCUGUGGUUCAACGACAAAAUAUAUGGUCUUUCUUUCCUAUUCUUUUCCGUGGUCCGCUACCUUUAAUUUCUUUCAUAGUUGAUCUAUCCCCAUGCUCACUCAGGUCCAUAAAGUUUGGCUUUUCCCUUUUUCAUAAAAAUACAUAUUUCAUCUUAGAAAAAGAUAAAAAAUAAAUAAAGCAUGCAUUCGGGGUAUUUUUUUUCCUUUUACGCUGAUCUUUUGUAAUUAUCAUGAUAAUGAGGGAUAUUUAUGUACUUUUACGUUGAAUUUUUGGUUUUUUAAUUAAGACCAUGUUUGUUUCCCGGAAAAUAGUUUCCGGGAAACCAUUUUUUAAAUCUUCUUGUGUUUGUUUGUCAUUAGAAAAGUUGAUCAACGGAAAAUACUUUCUAAUUAAUGGAAAGCACUUUCCAGUCAAAGAAAAAUUUGGCUUGGUUUUUAGAAAAGUGUUUUCCCUUUAACUGUGUUUGUUUUCUGGAAAGUGGUUUCCAGGAAAUCACUUUCCAAACUUUCUUGUGUUUAUUUACCAUUAGGAAAGUUGGUCAAUGAAAAACACUUUUUAGUAAAAGAAAAAUUUGACUUGGUUUUCAGGAAAGUGUUUUCCUGAAAAAUUUGGGCGGAAAACACUUUCCGGAAGUUGUGAAAAAUUUAAAAAUAUCAUUAUUUGCUGAUUAUAUCAAAUUUGAUCCUCAAACUUUUGAUUGCUAUAUAUAUUUUGUUCUGAAUGUUUAUUUUUCAAUUUCAUCUCUUAAAAUUUUAUUUUUAUAUUAACUUUGGUCUUUAUUUUUAUAAUUGUUAUUUGCUUUUUUCUUAUCAUUUUUUUAUUGAAAUUUUUUAUCUAUCAAAUUUGGUCCUCAUUCUUUUGAUUGUUACUUAUUUUAUUUGAAAUAAUUUAUGAAAUAUUGAUUAUUAUUAUUUUAAUUUCUUCAUCUUUCAUUUGUUUUUAAUUUUUUAGAUUUGAUCUCUAUUAUUUUGAUUAUUAUUUAUUUUAUUUGAGAUAAUUUAUAAAAUUAUAUAUUUUUUUCAAUUUUAUUCUCACUCAACUUUUUAAUUUGUAAGAUUUGUUCCUCAUUAUUUUAAUAAACUUGAGAAAAAUAAAAUAUUAAUACGUUAUUUUCCAGCUUAUUUUCCAUGACAUAACCAAACACUGGAAAAUGUUUUCCAACUUAUUUUCCAUUACACUACAAAAUAUCAGAAAAUACUUUCUCGGAAUUCACUUUCCAAAAAAAAACUACUUUCCAGCAAACAAACGAGGCAUAAAGAAAGUUGAUGGUAUGUGUUCAUUAUGCACUAAUAAAUUGAUAGGGUCCGCGCCAUUUUGAAUAACGUGUGUGAUAUUUUUUGGUAGCUAAACUUGACCUUCCAACGUGUCUUUGAAAGUGGCAUCAUGUCCUAUUUUUUAUGGUGUGGCGGGUGAUAACAUAUAGUUGUUAGAUUGUUGUCGAUUGUCCUCUUUGUUAUGUAUUUUAGUUUUAGUUCUUAUUCUUUUGAUUUUUUAUUUCGUUUUUAUUUUUUAUAUAAAUAUUUUAUUUAUUUUCAAUUUAAUAUUUUAAUUAUAAUUUGUUAUAUGUAUUUCUUUUAUUUCAAUCCCUUUUUUUAUUUUUUUAUUUUUUUAUUAAAAUGUUUUUUGAUUUCAAAACUUUUUUUAAGAGCUAAGACAUACUCCGCAGCAAGCCAGCAACCCGUGCUUCAACGACAAAAAUAUGAGCUCUUUUUUUUUUUUUUUGUGUCAUUGGUUCUCGAGCCACAAAACAAAGAAUCUUUGUCCUUAUUGAAGCAUUGGUCCACCACUCUUAAAGUUUUUCACAGCAAGACUUUUCCCGCAUGCACCCUCAGGUUAAAGAUGAAGAAUAUUUGUAGGGUUCUUGGUUAUUCCUUCUUGUCGAGAAGCUUGUGCCUUGUAGCAAUCUAUCACGGUAUUACAAGGAUGAAAGAAGAAGGAUUAAUGCCAACCUUUUCAUCUCGUUGUUGAUCAACAAGGAAGGAACUUGAUAGAAAUAGACCCUUGAGAUUACUAUCCUAUUCAUCAAAAUCCUUCUAUCCUCCCUGCAAUUCCUUCAAAAUUAUGAGUUACAUUGAUUUUCUUCGCAAUUGAAGUAAGUUAGACUGGAUUGCCUAAAUAUGAUUAAUAAAGGGUUGGAUUUGCACAAUUAUUUACACAGUUUAAUUUGUUGAUUUGAUACAUCAUAAACUGUGAAUUGACAGAAAAGAAGAAGAAGCUAUCUCACAGGUCACAACAAUUUCCUUCAUUAUUGCUCACUAAUAUGUUAUUACUGAAAAGAGUAAAUUUCAGAUCACUCUAUUUCUGAGAUGGCUGCCAACUCUUGGUGAAGACGUCUCGCUGGCAUGCGGCCUGCGCUGGUUCUCUUAGAGACAGAGGAGCUAAAAGGAUCAGGAGGCUUUGUUAAGUUUUCUCCUUCCCCUUCAAGCAUCUGGACAACAGUUUUCAUGGAAGGACGCUCUGCUGGGUUCCACUGAAUGCACCAUAGCCCCACAAUUGCUAGUUUCUUCGCAAUUCUAGCAUCUUCUUCUCCAUCGAUAUGAAACCGCAGGUCUUCUUCCUUUUCUAAGAGAUUAUAAAUCCAUUCCGGGAAGUAUAUCUGGUCGCCAUUUUCUGCUGUAUCAUCGACGUUCUUCCUUCCUCCAACCAUUUCCAACACUAACAUGCCAAAGCUGUAAACAUCUGAUUUAUAGGAAACACUCCCGAAGUUCCUCGAGAACACUUCUGGGGCAAUGUAGCCAACAGUCCCCCUAGCAGUCGUCAUGGAAAUAGCACUUUUAUCCUUGGAACACAACUUAGCCAUCCCAAAAUCGGCGAUUUUGGGAUUGAAUUCGUUGUCAAGCAGGAUAUUCUGUGGUUUGAUAUCAAAAUGGAGGAUUCUUUGAUCGCACCCCUGGUGAAGAUAUUCAAUCCCCUUGGCUAUGCCUAGAGCAACACGAUUCAACCUUUCCCAGCCAAGGAAAUGGUUCCUUGAGUCUGCUGAGGUUAUGAACUUCUGUAAUGAACCAUUUGGCAAGUACUCAUAAACCAGAGCUCGUCUAAAUCCAUCAGCACAGAAACCGAUCAAGCGAACAACAUUGACAUGGUGGAUCCUUGCCAUUGUUCCCACUUCAUUGAUGAAUUCCUCCCCUUUUCCUAUGGAAUUAUUGAGGAGCUUCACAGCUACAGCAAUUUCAUUGGUCAGCUUUCCUUUGAACACGGUUCCAUAAGCUCCUUGGCCCAAUUCAUCACUGAAUUGAUUUGUGAUCCUCUUGAGAUCAGCGUAGGAGUACCUAGUGGGAUUCAGUGAUCUGUAAUCAUCCAAAAACAUUUCAACCCUGGCUUGAUAUUCUCUUUGUGUUUUAUCGUUGCUAUAGGCGCGGUAGAGUGCAGUAAUCACUAUAGCAAAAAGGAAGAAUCCUAAAAUCACACCUGCAUAUCAACAUUCUGAGUCAGGAAACUCUGUUUUUUGGGAAGUGAUGUAUUGAACCAAGUGUAAAAUUGAGAUGGAGAUUUGAGCAGACUACUAACCAGUAAUCAGUAGCUUUCGCCGCACAUCUGUAAGGGAUUGAAUACUUAUUAGCUUCUCCCUUUGAUGCAAUUGGUAAAAUCAUGAAAGCAACAAAGACGAAAAGAGUUUAAUUUGAAAAAAAGGAAGAAAGAUAGAAAGGCGUACCUUUAGUGUGCUGAAGGUAGCAUUCAGUUUCAGAAGAUCCACAAGUUAGAUUGGACCAAGACAUAGUAAGAACAUAAUUUUCUGCAUGCAACAUACUAUGUGGAAUUCCAUAAAUGUUGUACAUCUUGGUACAAGAUAACAAAUCAGUGUCACUGAUGGUGGUACUUGAUUCAACGGCAUAAACUUCAUGGUUAAAAGCACUCAGACAUGGGAUUUUAUGUGUGAGCCCAGACCUUUUCUCAUUAGAAGAACAGUUGAACAAGGUCCCAUCAUACAGCCAAUCGUUCUUAAUUUGGAAGUGAGAAGCCCCUAAACUGAGGUUUAAACGUUGCCUUAGAAAGCAACCUUGAGGAUCCCUUGCAUAAAUAAGUCGAUGUCUAUAGUCAAUUCUUUCGACGUGGAGACUCAAUCCAGUUGGCAGCUUAAGCAGUGUGUUGUUGUCCUCCGAGCAGGAUAGAUCAAAACCACAGUGGUCUGGUUGUUUGUCCAUGAUGCGGAAAGGAAAUCGGAUGUUAGGGCCACGGUUUCCACAUGAUCCUGUGCAGUUCAAGCUUGCUCCAUGGCCUGCAAGGAAGACAAUGAAAAAGAAGAACAAACACGUAACCAUUUCUGAUGAAUAAUUC